AAAAAGUUUCUGCUCCCUCAUGACCUCUGCAUCCUUUAUUUUUAUAACUCUAUUUCUUUUGCUUUUAUUUUUUUCCUUUUAUGAGACAGGGUUUUUCUGUGUAACUUUGGUUGCCCUUGAUCUCACCCUAUACAGCUGGCUGGCCUUGUAGUCAUGGACAUAUGUUUGCCUCUGCCUCUCAAAAGAAUGCUAGGAAUAAAGGCAUGCUCUACCACCACCCGGCUACUCUUUCUUUCUUUCAAUUACUUCAUCCUGUUUCUUUUCCCUCAUAAGUCUAUGUAUAUUUUUAAACAGAUUGUAAGCCUUUAGACAUUUUACUUUUUCCCUCAGAAUCUGUCUUUAUUGUAUAUAUUUAUAUUUUUCUCACCACAAGUCUUUUAUCUCCUAAACAGCAUUGCUAAAACUAAAGCCAUGGCUGUUUUAGCUGCUGUCAUUCCAAGAUGGAGGUGUUGUAUUUACCACCAGCACUGAGAGCUGUGCUCUGCCUUGGUCUAUGCUGCCAUCAAGGAGAAUGCUUAUGGCUUGAAGAAAUGAUUGCCAUUGCCAGCUUCUCAUACACACCAUUCAAUUGUUAGCAGGGCCUCUUAAAAGAGCCCUGUAGUUUUUACCACUUAUGCUGAGUCAAGAAACCUCCCUUAUGGGAGCUGCUCAAGUCUCUGCUUGUCUCACCUGAGAAAAUGCUGCUACCAAGAAAUCGUGCUUCUCUCUGUUCUUUUGCUGCUAAAAAUCCCAUUUGAAGCUUUUGUGAAGUUUUUAUAUGGAAGUUCGUAAAACCACAUGGGAGCUAUUUGUAACAAUAACUAUUUCUGUCAGCUGCCUGAGUUCUGGCACCAUGUUAGGGCCCCUACAUAACAUGCAAAGUCUUAUAUUAGUUGGAAUGUUGUUGGUCAAUGACUAGGAUUUCUGAUUUGAUAGUUCUGUCUUAAUUAUCAACCAUAACCAUUAAUCUGUAUUUUUUAUAAAGACUUAUCUUAACGAGGAAGCCACAGAACACAUCCUCUCUUUCCCAGGAUCACAUGGCAACCCUCUUUACUACACUUCCCAGAAUGCUCCUUCUCUUCUAGUUGUACCUAACUUGCUUCCCUAUUCACCAACAGUGCUUUAUUUAUCAAUCAAUAAGACAAACAUUUAAACAGAUGUCCUCCCUAUCAGGUAAAAUGCUUCUGGGAUGCUUUCAAGCCUCAUUAGAACUUCACAGAGAACAUCUAUAAAAAAUCAAGAUAGGUGAACACAAUUUAGCCUAUUUUUGGAGUGGGCAACUCUGCUUCCAGAUUAAUAUCUUUGUCCCUGUCUUCUGUGAAAAAGGUAUGCAGGGAAGAGGAUGAUUUGCACAGCCUGGGCUUUCAAGAUGCAAGGUAUGCUUGACAGAGAGGCAGCUGCUGCUACUACAGCCACAAGGCCAACAAGUAGACUCUCUGAUGACUCUAUUAAUACCAGUCACCUCACCUAUAAGUUUAAUGGAUUUCUCUAUUCAGACAUCAAAUUACACCAAGAAUCACAUACUCUUCAUAUUUCCUUGCCUAAUUCUCAAUAUGUGGUGAUUUAAUAAUAAUUGGAUAAACAAAUGUUUUAUGUGGUCAUUCUGUCCCUAUGAACUCUCCUUGCCUAACCCAGCUUAGGGUAUUUUCUCUGUUGUGAAUCUAUUUUCUGUGAAUUCAAGCAUUUCCAUUUGGGGUAGGGCAGUACCUGGACUAGGGUCCCUGCCUUCACUUACACUAUUAAAGAAGCUUAUUCAUUUCCAAGUUUGAAAAUAUUUUUCAAAAGUGAUUCAUAUAUGUGCAUUAAUUGGGAGUGGUUUCUAUUCAUUGGAGCUGCUGGCAGUCAGAGCAGGGAACUUAUAGUUGUGUAUCUGUCAAAAGUCAUUCCCAUUACUGGGUUGAUAUUUUUGGUUAUGUGUGUGCUUCAAUUCCAUCUUUAACACCAAUAGGCUAACUGGUCCACCAAGCAGAAAUUUAGAGCAAUUUCCUUUGAAUCUUAUGGAUGCCCUGUCCUGGAGGGGCAUGUUUUCCUGUUUGUCUAGGAAAAGAUAAAUAGCAGAAAAGCAUGUCAAGGUACAAUUUAUAUUUUAGUAUUUAAAUAUUUAUACGUUUUGAGAUUAUAAUAUGAUUACAUAAUUUUAUGUCUAUUUUGUCUUCCUAUAAAUCCUCUUAUUCAUUCCUCCUUACUCCGCUCAAAUUUGAUCACCAUUUAAAACAGUAAGUGGAUGUUACACAUAUUAAAGUAUAUUUCUGUUCAUAUUUAGAGAAGUACACACUGCUAUGUCUGUGUAAUUUUAAUUUUAUGUUUUCAAGGCUGACCAUUAACCACUUUUGUGUGUGGUUCCCUUGUUAAAUAAGUUUUUUCAAAUUUCCUGGAUUAGUUAUAUUUUCCCCAGUUUUCUUUGCUUUACCUCAUAUGACAGAAAAUUUUUAGUCUUUUGAGCAUUCCUACAGACAUUUACUUGUCUAAACUCCACAUGAAACUCGAGUUGGCAUCCAUGUACCUCAAAUUUUCAGAAGUAUAUUAUUCAGAUAUUUAUUUGCUACCAAGCCUCUUGUUAUUCUACUUCUACUUCCUGGACCCUCUGGAAAAUUUUAUUUCUUUAGCAUCAUGUGUCAUAAUAGGAGCCCGUGGAAACACACAGAGGAAGCCCAUUCAACAGAGGGUUCAUAGAGGAAAUUUAUCUUCUUUGUAAUAAAAUAUUUUGCUGCACAUCUUAGAAAGUAUUAUGUUUAUUAAUACUUCAUAGUUCAAUUUUAAAAUAUAGAUAGUGAAAUGAAUGCUCCUAUCUUAUUCUUAUUUUCAGGACAAUGUUAUCAAUACAGGAUUUCUUGUGGUUCUGUAAAUACUUUAAAAGAAUUUCUAACAUUACAAGUAAAGAAUGACAUAUAUGGAGAGUUGUAUUGAUUUAUAUUUUCUCUAUUUAUCCCUAAAAAUUUCUGUAUUAUCUCAUGAUCCGUAUGUUGCGUCUCACAAGCCUGCUCAUGAUAAUCUCAGACUCAGGCAUGGAAAAUAUAUGGUUCUCCCAAAUGCUGAGAAGUUCUCACUGAAGAUAGAGUCACCACACCUACCUGUUGGUAUUCAUUAUUGUUUUCUUCUUGUGACCGCAGAGGGUACCAUGAACAGCUGGCUUGCUGCAUUGUUUCUGGAUUGAAGAUGUGUCCCAUGACUGCAGGACAUUAUAAAGCACAGGAGUUCACUACAUGACAACCAGGAAGCAGAGGAGAGUUACCAGAAUGGAUCAGAUCCAAGAUGUACCCUCCACAGUGUCUGUCUCUGCUGCUCAGUGACUCUGCAACUCAAAUAAUAAAGCCAUGGUUGCUCUCUGCAUCCUGAGAAGCACACACUGGAGGAGACCACUUCCCUAAGCAGGCUGUCCUCAACAGAGAGAUGGGAAGGUCAAUUGAAAAACAUGCGUCCUCAGAGGGAUCCUUUCUGGGCAGAUUAACAGUGACUUCCAGGGUUUGGAGUCCUGCUUCAGUUGCAAAAAGGAUGGUUCCCCCCAGCUUUCAGAAUCAGGCAGAAACAUGAGACUGCUGUUGUACCUGUGAAGAAUUACUACACCAGGGUCAGUUCUCACCGGUCACCAUGAGACAUUCUGAGAGCUUGGAGCUAUAACAUUUGCUGUCAGUCUCAUUUAACAAUAUCACCCUAAUCUGAUCAGGAGGGAAAUUUUCUCCAUGUGGAUAUCUAGAUGGACCAUACUGAGGACAUUGUGAAUGACAGGGGAAUAGAUACCUGAAGGGU
This is a non-coding RNA of Cricetulus griseus (Chinese hamster), 3726 nucleotides long. The record is from RefSeq and is a predicted model, not a curated record. Lineage: Eukaryota; Metazoa; Chordata; Mammalia; Rodentia; Cricetidae.